ACAAAGUGUGGAGCAAUGAAUGCCGUUCUGUAAUUGGGCGCUUGGAACGGCAGGAGCUAGUAGCGCAACCGACCGCUUCUUUU
Molecule: non-coding RNA, 83 nt
Filed under: Fictibacillus arsenicus
Lineage: Bacteria; Bacillati; Bacillota; Bacilli; Caryophanales; Fictibacillaceae
Description: c-di-GMP-II sequence
Rfam family: Cyclic di-GMP-II riboswitch aptamer
Source: Rfam by way of RNAcentral